CCUACGGGGGGCAGCAGUCGGGAAUUUUGGGCAAUGGGCGAAAGCCUGACCCAGCAACGCCGCGUGAAGGAUGAAGUAUUUCGGUAUGUAAACUUCGAAAGGAUGGGAAGAAAACAAUGACGGUACCAUCUAUAAGGUCCGGCUAACUACGUGCCAGCAGCCGCGGUAAUACGUAGGGACCAAGCGUUGUUCGGAUUUACUGGGCGUAAAGGGCGCGUAGGCGGCAUAUUAAGUCAGCUGUGAAAUCUCCGAGCUUAACUCGGAACUGUCAGCUGAUACUGAUGUGCUAGAGUGCGGAAGGGGCAAUCGGAAUUCUUGGUGUAGCGGUGAAAUGCGUAGAUAUCAAGAGGAACACCUGAGGUGAAGACGGGUUGCUGGGCCGACACUGACGCUGAGGCGCGAAAGCCAGGGGAGCAAACGGGAUUAGAUACCCUAGUAGU
RNAcentral lists this ribosomal RNA (440 nucleotides) under uncultured bacterium. Its description in RNAcentral is "bacterial SSU rRNA". It matches the Rfam family "Bacterial small subunit ribosomal RNA", at positions 338 to 794 of the family's 1533-position model. The record is from RNAcentral.